CUCCUUUGACGUUAGCGGCGGACGGGUGAGUAACACGUGGGUAACCUACCUAUAAGACUGGGAUAACUUCGGGAAACCGGAGCUAAUACCGGAUAAUAUUUCGAACCGCAUGGUUCGAUAGUGAAAGGUGGUUUUGCUAUCACUUAUAGAUGGACCCGCGCCGUAUUAGCUAGUUGGUAAGGUAACGGCUUACCAAGGCGACGAUACGUAGCCGACCUGAGAGGGUGAUCGGCCACACUGGAACUUAGACACGGUCCAGACUCCUACGGGAGGCAGCAGCG
This 281-nucleotide ribosomal RNA is filed under the name uncultured Staphylococcus sp. RNAcentral's name for it is "partial 16S ribosomal RNA". It matches the Rfam family "Bacterial small subunit ribosomal RNA", at positions 81 to 356 of the family's 1533-position model. The record is from RNAcentral. Lineage: Bacteria; Bacillati; Bacillota; Bacilli; Caryophanales; Staphylococcaceae.